This 206-nucleotide ribosomal RNA is filed under the name uncultured bacterium. RNAcentral describes it as "partial 16S ribosomal RNA". It matches the Rfam family "Bacterial small subunit ribosomal RNA", at positions 568 to 774 of the family's 1533-position model. The record is from RNAcentral.
UGUGUAGGCGGAAGCUUAAGCGUUUUGUGAAAUCCCUCGGCUUAACCGAGGAAUAGCUUGACGAACUGGGCUUCUUGAGGCAGGUAGGGUGCGCAGAACUCUUGGUGGAGCGGUGGAAUGCGUAGAUAUCAAGAGGAAUGCCGGUGGAGAAGUCGGUGCACUGGGCCUGUCCUGACGCUGAGACACGAAAGCGUGGGGAGCGAACG